AAUCAGCCUGAUUAGCAUGAACCACCGACUAUUGAUCGGUUGGCCAACCAACAGUUGGCUAUUCUCAACCAUCUCUAGCAGACUCUAACUAUGACGACUUAACUGAUUCCAAAUUGAUGACCAUCGACAUAAAUCGUCACACCAGAAAUCGUCAGCGCAGAAAGUGCAUAAUAAUCAGAACAUGAUCAAUGGUGGGUAUAACCGUCCAUCCCAC
This 214-nucleotide long non-coding RNA is filed under the name Elaeis guineensis (African oil palm). RNAcentral describes it as "long non-coding RNA (EGUI_LNC037297)". Lineage: Eukaryota; Viridiplantae; Streptophyta; Magnoliopsida; Arecales; Arecaceae. The record is from RNAcentral.